ACGCAAUAGAUACCCAGGUAGUCCACGCCGUAAACGAUGGAUACUAGCUGUUGGAGGUAUCGACCCCUUCAGUAGCGAAAGCUAACGCGUUAAGUAUCCCGCCUGUGGAGUACGGUCGCAAGACUAAAACAUAAAGGAAUUGACGGGGACCCGCACAAGCGGUGGAUCGUGUUCUUUAAAUUCGAUGAUAAACGAAGAACCUUACCAGGGCUUGACAUCCAGGGAAGCACUACGAAAGUAGAGUGUGCCUUUUGGAACCCUGUGACAGGUGAUGCAUGGCCGUCGUCAGCUCGUGUCGUGAGAUGUUUGGUUAAGUCCAUCAACGAGCGCAACCCUUGUGAAUAGUUGUAUUUUUCUAUUCAGACUGCCCCGGUAACGGGGAGGAAGGAGGGGAUGAUGUCAGGUCAGUAUUUCCCUUACGUCCUGGGCUAGAAACACGAUACAAUGGCUAGUACAAUGCGCAGCAAAGCCGCGAGGUGGAGCAAAUCGCAUCAAAGCUAGUCCCAGUUCGGAUAAGAGGCUGAAACUCGCCUC
This 534-nucleotide ribosomal RNA is filed under the name uncultured bacterium. Its description in RNAcentral is "bacterial SSU rRNA". It matches the Rfam family "Bacterial small subunit ribosomal RNA", at positions 772 to 1318 of the family's 1533-position model. The record is from RNAcentral.